Molecule: ribosomal RNA, 506 nt
Filed under: uncultured bacterium
Lineage: Bacteria
Description: partial 16S ribosomal RNA
Rfam family: Bacterial small subunit ribosomal RNA
Source: RNAcentral
AUUGAACGCUGGCGACAGGCCUAACACAUGCAAGUCGAACGGUAGCACAGAGGAGCUUGCUCCUUGGGUGACGAGUGGCGGACGGGUGAGUAAUGUCUGGGAAACUGCCCGAUGGAGGGGGAUAACUACUGGAAACGGUAGCUAAUACCGCAUAACGUCGCAAGACCAAAGAGGGGGACCUGUGGGGCCCUUGCCAUCAGAUGAACCCAGAUGGGAUUAGCUAGGAGGGGGGGUAACGGCUCACCUAGGCGACGAUCACUAGCUGGUCUGAGAGGAUGACCAGCCACACUGGAACUGAGACACGGUCCAGACUCCUACGGGAGGCAGCAGUGGGGAAUAUUGCACAAUGGGCGCAAGCCUGAUGCAGCCAUGCCGCGUGUAUGAAGAAGGCCUUCGGGUUGUAAAGUACUUUCAGCGAGGAGGAAGGCGUUAAGGUUAAUAACCUUAGCGAUUGACGUUACUCGCAGAAGAAGCACCGGCUAACUCCGUGCCAGCCGCCGCCGUAA